Dreissena polymorpha is the source of this 1174-nucleotide long non-coding RNA. RefSeq lists it as uncharacterized. The record is from RefSeq and is a predicted model, not a curated record. Lineage: Eukaryota; Metazoa; Mollusca; Bivalvia; Myida; Dreissenidae. The transcript has 2 exons.
UUUAUACGCCCGUCUAUGACGGGACGUAUUAUGGUAUACCCCGCGUCCGUCUGUCCGUCCGUCCGUCUGUCCGUCCGUAUGUCUGUUAAUGUCGUACGCUACGUCAAAUAUCCUUUGACAGAUUUUCUUCAAAUUUUAACACAAUCUUAAUAUUGAUAAACCCUGAUCCCCUUUCGUUUUUGACGGAAUUCUGAAUUGUCGUUCCAGAGUUAUGGGACUUUGUUCGUCAAAAUUUCGUGAUUUCAUUGAAUGUCCUACUGUAGCUAUAUAAAAAUGUUAAAGUUGUUAUAACUUUGGUAUGCUUGGACCUAGAGUCUUGAAACUUGACAUGAAGGUUGGCCAGAACUAGUAAGUAACCACUGGACAUUUCAAGGUCAUUCAUUUGAAGGUCAAGGUCACUGUGACCUUGAAUGUAAAAAUGUUAAAGUUCUUAUUUCAUGUUAUAACUUUGGUAUGCUUGUACCUAGAGUCUUCAAACUUGAAAUAAAGAUUGGCCAGUACUAGAAGAUGACCACUGGUCAUUUCAAUGUCAUUCAUUUGAAGGUCAAGGUCACUGUGACCUUAAAUGUUAAAAUGUUAAAAUUGUUAUAACUUUGGUAUGCUUGGACAUAGAGUCUUCAAACUUGACAUGAAGGUUUGCAAGCACACUUAGAUGACCACUGGUCAUUUCAAGGUCAUUCAUUCUAAGGUCAAGGUCACACAAGGUCACUGUGACCUUAAAUGUUAAAAUGUUAAAAUUGUUAUAACUUUGGUAUGCUUGGACAUAGAGUCUUCAAACUUGACAUGAAGGUUUGCAAGCACACUUAGAUGACCACUGGUCAUUUCAAGGUCAUUCAUUCUAAGGUCAAGGUCACUGUGACCUUAAAUGUUAUUGUUGUUCAUGUAUCCUACCGUAGCUCAAAUAUCCCCCGAUGGAUUUUUUAUACGCCCGUCUAUGACGGGACGUAUUAUGGUAUACCCCGCGUCCGUCUGUCCGUCCGUCCGUCCGUCCGUCCGUCCGUCCGUCUGUUAAUGUCGUACGCUACGUCAAAUAUCCUUUGACAGAUUUUCUUCAAAUUUUAACACAAUCUUAAUAUUGAUAAACCCUGAUCCCCUUUCGUUUUUGACGGAAUUCUGAAUUGUCGUUCCAGAGUUAUGGGACUUUGUUCGUCAAAAUUUCGUGAUUUCAUUGAAU